UUAAUUGGGCUGGCUGGCAACUAAAAGACCACAGAAACACAGAAAUACCCUUCGUGGGGCUUAGGGAUGGCUCUGAGACCUCAGGUGUCAGCUCCCACACUGGAGAGCAAGAGGAGCAAAGAAGGCCCGAGAGAGCCAGCAUACCCUGAGCCCUUCUAUUUGUUAGAGAAAAGACAUUCCAUAGAAUAUUCCAUCCAAAUAAGGCAAGGGAUUGUGUUACAACAAACAGGGGGUGUAGCCAGUCCCAUUGGGUGACGCCCAAUCCCAGAGCUGCACUUCCUUGUCCAGUGAAGGUAAGGCCCACUGGCUUCACACUGCAUGCAAUGCCACUUCAACACCUUCAUUAUUCAAGGCUAAGGGGGCAAGCUCAGCUCCUAUUCAGGGUGGCCCCCAACACUUAAAGGUUCUUUGAAAUAUGGAACUUGAAACACUCACCAAUAGCUCAUAUUCUGUCAUGUUAAAAUAUAUAUAUAUCUAUCUUUCACAUUGAAUAGAUCUCGUGCUAAUAUAUGAGUAUAGAAAAAGAAAUAUAUUGUUUUCUCAAAUUAUAUUCUUUUUACAGUGUUGCAUACUUAAGAGCAGAUGAUCAAAAGCCAUAUUUGAUAAUAUUAUUACAGAGGCCUCAGAAAAGGAUGUACGUAUUCAGAAACUGUCAGAUUUAGGGUGGUGGGUAGAAGUCCUUCAAAAUUCUUUCUCUUCAGAGCUUCUAUUCUAUCACUGUCAAAUAUACUGCCAGUGCAUUAUCUUGAAGGAACAAGCUCACACUUAGUUUUGAGACAGUGUCAGGCAACAAUUUUAGAAAUCACACUUUCUGUGUCAUGCAUUCUUUCAAGUAAAAUGGUAGUCCCUAAAAAAGCAGUCAAUACAGCUCAUAAAAUGGUUUUGCUGACACAAACAUUCUAUUUGGAAUGCACUGAAAGUGAUACACAUGGGCUUUCCAUUUAAUCAUGAGAUAUUUUGAAAAUGAGGACCCUAGAAUAAAUAAUUGAUAAAGUUAACAAUUUCGAACAAUCUCACCAGGACAUGUUUAAUUGCAACUGACUUUUUUGUCUUCUGCAACUAAGAGGUGAUGUAGAGAACAAUAACUGUGUUAGCUUCCAUUCUGCAAGUUUUACUUUCAUGCAAAUAAUGUCUGGGUAGCAUUAUAAAAUUGGCUUGUGACUCUUGUGACAGUGUGACAGUGAGUAUCUAAGCACACCCAAAUAUUCCACAGACCACUUUGAGCACUGCUGCUCGGAAAACCCAGGAGAGUUCCCAACUGUCCCCAUCCUCUUUGCCUCUUCAUUAUGUCCAGAUCAUCUCCUGAGCUGUAUUCUCUGGUGCUCUGCCCUGGAGGACAAGCCACCCCCUAAAUAUUUGAUGCCACAACUGUCCUUUUUCUGGGAACAGAGAUGAAGGGACAUGUUUCUCUUUGCUAUUGGUAACAGUUUGUGGGUGAAGGCACCAGAGAGAUAAUCACUCAUAACCUCUUAUGGAAGCCUGUGUCCAUAUCAGGGCACACCAGUCUUCAUGAGAAAUAAUAUUGGCUCUUUUCAUUUUAAGUGGGUGUAGUGGUGCAGUUACUGUAGUCUGUGAGGUUGCUGUAUCAAAAAUGCAACAAACCGGGUGGCUUAUUAACAACAGAUAUUUGUUUCUCACAGAUCUGGAGACUGAAAAAUCCAAGAUGGAGGUGCUAACACUUCAUUCCUAGUGAGAGAAACUUCGUCAUAGACAGCCAUCUUCUCACUACAUCCUCAGAGGGCUACUGGCCACAGCAGCUCUCUGGAUUCUGCUUUAGGAGGUCCUAAUUCUAGUCAUGAGGGUCAUUACUAAUUAUCAUGAGAGUCAUGACUAAUUAUAAUCAGCCUUUAUAUGUAUUUAGAAGGGACCUAAGCUUAGUCUGGCAGCAGUACUGUUGGUAAGAAUACUACGUAGUGAUGAAAUUGUUGUAUCUCUGCACCUUCUAAUAAGGUAGCCACUACUUGCAUGUGUCUAUUUAGCAUUUAAAUGUGGCUGGCCAACUAAACAGUUGAAUUUUAAUUUUUUUUGUGAAUUGAAACAUAAAUAACUAUGUCUAGUUCACUGUUACUAUUGAUGACAGUGCAUAUCUAGUGUAUUCUUAAUAUUCAGUCUCCUACCCACAAAGAUACACUUGACUCCUGGAUGGAAGUCAGUUAAAAUAUCCUUAUAUAAAAACUGGGGCUUUGGUUGGAUGAUAUGGGGGAUGAAUAAGGAAGUAGGAUUUCACUCUAGAUUGGGUGGUGUCCAGAAGAGGGAGAUUAUGGGAUGAAAUGAAUAAGUAAAUCUUAGCCAUAGUAAGUACAGACUUGAGCAGGAAUAAAUUUGUAAAGAAGGUGCUGUCACCAAUUCACAGUAGCUAAAUUAUGGAACCAACCUUGAUGCUCUUUGGUAGAUAAAUGGAUAGAGAAACUUUGGUAUAUAUACACAAAGGAACAUUACUCAUGACAUUUGCAUGUGAAUGGAUGAAGUUAGAGAAUAUAAUGCUAAGUGAAGCAAGCCAAUCCCCAAAAAAACCAAAGGCCAAAUAUUUGCUUUGAUAUGAGGAUGCUGACUCAUAAUGGUGAUGGGCUGGGGUGGGGGAAGGAGCAUGAGAAGAACGGAGGAACUUUAGGUAGAGCAAAGGGGAGGGAGGGGGCAGGGGGUUAGAAUGAUGGUGGAAUGAGUUAGACAUCAUUACCUAAGUACCCAAAUAAGACGCGAUGGAGUGAAAAUAAUUUGUGUACAAUCAGUAACUUGAAAAAUUGUGCUCUAUAUGUGUAAUAUGAAAUGAAUCGCAUUCUGCCAUAACAUAAGACAAAUUAGAAUAAAAAAGUUGCUAUUAUUCAUAUCCACCUAUAUAGGAAGCUGGCUAGUGUUCUGUUAAUUGCACAAUUCCUAAACUUUUUAAGGUGCUUAGAAAAAGUUGUUAUGUACUACUUUUGUUUUACCUUAUUUUGUGUGUUUCAGAAUGAACUUGUCUGACAUUGCUUCUUAGUAUGCAUUUUGUCCAACAGGGAAUAGCAUGGCCUCACUAUAUGCACCACAAUAGCUCUUAACAACUCUGACCCCUAGCUCUAAGUGCCAGAGCAGUUUCAAUAUGUCAGGAUCUGAUUUUCUUCUUUCUUAAAUUCAAUAUUCUGUAGUGCCUACAUUCCUAAUCAAAAUGAAUAAGAAUAUCAGCAUACAACUUGGUAAAGAAGAAAGGCACAAAUUGAAAAAAUAUAUUAACAAUAAUUUAUUUCACCUGCAUUGUCACAAGAGACAUGCAUAUUCAGCAGACAUUACAAAAAUAAAUUAAACAUCCCUAUUGACUUCUGUAGUGAGUAAGGUUCAUGGGUUCAUGAAAACAGAUAAGCAGGACACCUCAGAGUACCCUGGCCACAAUUCUUUCUCAAUAACAUCUAAAAUAUGCAAAAACAGUUAUGGAAUUUAAUGCUCCUUCUAGCUAUUAGUUGUAUCUAUUUGCAUUCAUUCUAAUUGUGGUUUAGAAAUUGAAAACUACAUCUUUAAUUUUUUAGAACCUACUUUAGGUAACACUUACACUCAGUAAAAUACAGGAAAUUUAUAGCAGCAUGUUUCCAGUUAACCACCCUUCUGUAAUAUCACUAUGUAUACUACAUCAGUGUUCAUUGUAAACCUAGCCAGACAGUGUAAUGCAUUGUGCUAUAAAAGUCAUCUGUCCUUUUACAUAUUAAAAAAUAAUAUAUGUAAAAUAUUGUCAUGUUCUAUUGCUAGUUAUUCCUUUCUGUACAAAUUAGUUACCAUCUUUGACUAUUAAACUUUAGGCUUUUCUUCAUUUCAAAUUACAUGUGGUGAAAGACUGCUAGCAAGGAAUCCUGCCAAAUUUUAUUCAUCAGAUAAAUACCUUGUUUUGCUCUUUUUGUCUAUGAAGAGAUUGAUGUGAAAUAAAAUUCACUAAUUUGGGGUGUAAAGUUGUUUUGAAUCAUUUACCACCACUAUGACCAGAAUAUGUUCUUAUGUACCCUUGUCCCAAACUCUGAACUCUUCUGCUUUCUUGUGUGACCCUCUCCUCUACUCCAGCUCCAGGUGAUCACCAAUCUGCUUUCUGAAUAGAAUUUUGAAUAUGCUGAAAUUUCAUGUACAUGCAACCAUAUAGUAUAUAAUCUUUGCUAUAACAGUUAUUUUAAGCUUUGUUAUGUUAUUGUGUGUGCAUUAAUAUUUCAUUCAUUUUUAAUACUGGAUAUUACUGAAAUAAUAGUUAUUGUUUGGUAUUGUCACAACUCUCUUUAACAUUAUCCAUUCUAGUUGAGGUGAGGUGGUAUCUCAUUGUGAUUUUAAUUUGUACAUCUUUGGAGACUAUUGAUGGUGAGCAUCUUUUCAAUAAUUAUUAGGGACUUGUCUAGCUUAGCCUCUGAACUCUUCUUGACAUUUCUUGUCCAUGGAGGUAAGGGCUGGUUGUCUCAUUAUUGAAUUGGAAAUGUUCUCCUUAUAUUAUGGAUACUGGCUGUAUAACAAAUAUAUUUCCUGCAAAAAGUUUUUCUUCUUUUCUGUGGUUUGUGUUUUCAUCUCCUUUACUAUGGUUAUUAAAAGUUGGCAUUAAGCAUGAUUCAAUCCAUUUCAUCACUUUUGUUUUAUAUUUUGUACCUUUUGCUUUAUACUUUAUGUAGUCAAAAUUUUGUUAACACAAUUUCAAUAAUUUUUCCUCUAUGUUUGUAAAAUGAUGUUCAGUAGCUUUAUUGCAUUAGAUAUGUUGUGAUUUAAAUCUUGAUUAUGAUGUGACAAAAUGAUUGAGUUCAUUUCCUUUUCCCAUAUGGAUGUCCAGGUGUUCCUGUAACAUGUGUUGAAACCCUACGUUUUCUCCAUUGAAUUAUCUUGGCAAUUUUUUCAAAAAUGUGAUCUAUGUGUCUGUUCUUACAUCAAUGCCAUGUUUUGCUCAUUACUGUGAUUUCAUUAGUUUUAGAAUAAACUAUUUUAAGCUUUCCAAUUUCGUUCUUAAUUUUCAAAAUGAUUUAUAUAUUUUAGGGUGCUAUAACAUUGAUCUUGAGUGUCCC
RNAcentral lists this long non-coding RNA (4991 nucleotides) under Marmota monax (woodchuck). The record is from RNAcentral. Lineage: Eukaryota; Metazoa; Chordata; Mammalia; Rodentia; Sciuridae.